This 106-nucleotide microRNA precursor is filed under the name Marmota monax (woodchuck). The record is from RNAcentral. Lineage: Eukaryota; Metazoa; Chordata; Mammalia; Rodentia; Sciuridae.
UGCAAAAUGGCUGGAUCAUAUGGUAGGUGCAUAUUUUAUUUUUUUUUAAGCAACUGCCAAACUAUUUUCCAAAGAGAUUGUAACAUUAUACAGUCCCACCAGCAGU